CACGUAGGGGGCAAGCGUUGUCCGGAUUUAUUGGGCGUAAAGAGCUCGUAGGCGGCUCAGUAAGUCAGGUGUGAAACCUCCAGGCUCAACCUGGAGACGCCACCUGAUACUGCUGUGGCUAGAGUCCGGUAGGGGAGCGUGGAAUUCCUGGUGUAGCGGUGAAAUGCGCAGAUAUCAGGAGGAACACCAGCGGCGAAGGCGGCAUCCUGGACCGAGAUUGACACUGAUGAGCGAAAGCUAGGGGAGCAAACGGG
This 254-nucleotide ribosomal RNA is filed under the name uncultured bacterium. RNAcentral's name for it is "partial 16S ribosomal RNA". It matches the Rfam family "Bacterial small subunit ribosomal RNA", at positions 524 to 776 of the family's 1533-position model. The record is from RNAcentral.